This 460-nucleotide ribosomal RNA is filed under the name uncultured bacterium. Its description in RNAcentral is "partial 16S ribosomal RNA". It matches the Rfam family "Bacterial small subunit ribosomal RNA", at positions 338 to 795 of the family's 1533-position model. The record is from RNAcentral.
CCUACGGGGGGCAGCAGUGAGGAAUAUUGGUCAAUGGACGAGAGUCUGAACCAGCCAAGUAGCGUGAAGGAUGACUGCCCUAUGGGUUGUAAACUUCUUUUAUAUGGGAAUAAAAUGUUCCACGUGUGGGCUUUUGUAUGUACCAUAUGAAUAAGGAUCGGCUAACUCCGUGCCAGCAGCCGCGGUAAUACGGAGGAUCCGAGCGUUAUCCGGAUUUAUUGGGUGUAAAGGGAGCGUAGGUGGAUUGUUAAGUCAGUUGUGAAAGUUUGCGGCUCAACCGUAAAAUUGCAGUUGAAACUGGCAGUCUUGAGUACAGUAGAGGUGGGCGGAAUUCGUGGUGUAGCGGUGAAAUGCUUAGAUAUCACGAAGAACUCCGAUUGCGAAGGCAGCUCACUGGACUGCAACUGACACGGAGGCUCGAAAGUGUGGGUAUCAAACAGGAUUAGAUACCCCAGUAGUC